AGCAGCCGCGGUAAUUCCAGCUCCAAUAGCGUAUAUUAAAGUUGUUGCAGUUAAAAAGCUCGUAGUUGAAUUUCGGGAUUAGUAGGUUGGUCGUGCCUCUGGUAUGUACUCGCCUUACUGGUUCCUCCUUCUUGAAGAACUGUAAUGCCAUUAAUUUGGUGUUGCAUGGAAACAGGACUGUUACUUUGAAAAAUUAGAGUGUUUAAAGCAGGCCAUUGCCUGAAUACAUUAGCAUGGAAUAAUGAAAUAGGACGUUGAUCCUAUUUUGUUGGUUUCUAGGAUUGACGUAAUGAUUAAUAGGGAUAGUUGGGGGCAUUAGUAUUCAAUUGUCAGAGGUGAGAUUCUUGGAUUUAUUGAAGACUAACUACUGCGAAAGCAUUUGCCAAGGAUGUUUUCAUUAAUCAAGAACGAAAGUUAGGGGAUCGAAGACGAUCAGAUACCGUCGUAGUCUUAACCAUAAACUAUGCCGACUAGGGAUCGGAUGAUGUAAUUUUUGAUGA
RNAcentral lists this ribosomal RNA (500 nucleotides) under uncultured Glomus. RNAcentral's name for it is "SSU rRNA". It matches the Rfam family "Eukaryotic small subunit ribosomal RNA", at positions 569 to 1075 of the family's 1831-position model. Lineage: Eukaryota; Fungi; Glomeromycota; Glomeromycetes; Glomerales; Glomeraceae. The record is from RNAcentral.